GCGUGUCGUGACCCGCUGCGCUGUUCACGCUGCCUCCAGAAUGGCCAUAAAUCUCGUGGUUGCAAGAACCAGUGGAAGCCAUUAAGCUUGCUGGACUCCCCCGGAGUGCCUCCACCCCCUCUCCCUCGGCUUGCCGCUGUUGCUGUCCAAGUAGCAGCUCCUCGCUCUGGUCGUGGCUGGGAGAAUCCUCUGCUGCCUACUGCAACCUCUCCGGCCACGAUGCUCCGCCUCGGUGAUGCGUCGCUCCGUCCGGAGGAGGACUACGUCGUCGUCCCUGCAACGCCUGAGAUGCAGGCUGAGUCUGCUCUCCUCUCCACCAACGGGGCAGUUGCCUGGCUAGAAGGCGCCAGGCAGGACGUCUCCUGCCAGCAGGUGGCCUCCGAGCUGGCAAAGGCCUUGGGGGCACGCCAGACUGAUGUCGAAGUCGUCAAGCACUACCCCGAGCAGUUCUUCGUCCGCUUCACGUUCCAGCACCACUGCGCCCUGGCGGUCUCCCUUGGCCAUCUUCCUGGCGCUGGCUACCUCAUCUAUGUGAGGGAGUGUCGGCUCGAGGCGCACGCCGACAACGAGGACCAGCUACACCAUGUUCGCCUAUGCUUGGAGGGCGUCCCACUACACGGAUGGAACAACUACGUCGCCACCUUUCUCAUCGGCCGUGGCUGCUCCCUCGACUACAUCGAG
Molecule: ribosomal RNA, 681 nt
Filed under: Triticum aestivum (bread wheat)
Lineage: Eukaryota; Viridiplantae; Streptophyta; Magnoliopsida; Poales; Poaceae
Description: partial small subunit ribosomal RNA
Source: RNAcentral